This 861-nucleotide long non-coding RNA is filed under the name Monodelphis domestica (gray short-tailed opossum). RNAcentral's name for it is "lncRNA (ENSMODG00000048810.1)". The record is from RNAcentral. Lineage: Eukaryota; Metazoa; Chordata; Mammalia; Didelphimorphia; Didelphidae.
AGCUAGAGGGCUGGAACCAGAUUCAACCUGGCCCAGGACCCAAUGUCGGUGUCCCGCUGGGUCGGCUGGCAGGGCUGCAGCUCUGGAAGCACCAGCUUAGGCCCACAGUACGUGAGGUUGAGGUCGCAAAGCGGCGGGACAGCCUCUGGAUUGGACAGCACUGCACCUGGGAUGAGAACCCCCGUCCCUCCAAGUGAUGGCGGCAGGUGAGGGCGGCAUAGGAGCAGAGGAGAAGGGGCGGCUCGGACAUGCGCAGCAACUCGCCCUGGGCGCCUGGGCGCGAGCCCACGUCGUCGUUUUGAGCCCAUAGUCGAAGAUCACGUGCACGUCAAACCUCACGAACUUGGCCAGCACUUCAUCAGCAAGGUUCAUUGAUUGGUGGCAGCAGGGGCAGGCGGGAGGGGCACCACAGAUAACGUUUUCAGCCCGCUCAGCCCCAGAAAGACACGUGAUGACUUGCAGCCCUCGCUCCCCCCGCCCCCGCGCUCACUGGCCACUAUCCGGGAAAGGAACGUGCUUUGCCCAGCCUUCUGGUCGGGAGGAGCUGGGCAGAGGCAAAUGGGGUACACAGCCGUUUUUCAGAAGUUGUCCUUGAUUCUCAGCAGGUUCCUCUCGAAGGGUACUCACACCAUCGGACUCUGUGCCCAAGAAUGGGCGCCCAGGUGGCAGUGGGAGCUACGUUCUUCUGCCCCAUGCCCCACCCCUCUUCCCCUGACCCUAAAGGUGGAUGGGCCUGAAGACAGGAGACAAGUGUCCAGAUCAAGGCUUUGGCUACUUUCCAUUUCAUUGACUCGACUUAGGAGGUCCGAGAAUCCAGGAUUAAUGAUAUCUGCCAAGACAUGGCAUUCAAUGGCAUGGUGA